AUGAACGCUGACAGAAUGCUUAACACAUGCAAGUCAACUUGAAUUUGGGUUUUUAACUUAGAUUUGGGUGGCGGACGGGUGAGUAACGCGUAAAGAACUUGCCUCACAGCUAGGGACAACAUUUAGAAAUGAAUGCUAAUACCUGAUAUUAUGAUUUUAAGGCAUCUUAGAAUUAUGAAAGCUAUAAGCACUGUGAGAGAGCUUUGCGUCCCAUUAGCUAGUUGGAGAGGUAACAGCUCACCAAGGCGAUGAUGGGUAGCCGGCCUGAGAGGGUGAACGGCCACAAGGGGACUGAGACACGGCCCUUACUCCUACGGGAGGCAGCAGUGGGGAAUAUUGGACAAUGGACCGAGAGUCUGAUCCAGCAAUUCUGUGUGCACGAUGAAGUUUUUCGGAAUGUAAAGUGCUUUCAGUUGGGAAGAAAAAAAUGACGGUACCAACAGAAGAAGUGACGGCUAAAUACGUGCCAGCAGCCGCGGUAAUACGUAUGUCACGAGCGUUAUCCGGAUUUAUUGGGCGUAAAGCGCGUCUAGGUGGUUAUGUAAGUCUGAUGUGAAAAUGCGGGGCUCAACUCUGUAUUGCGUUGGAAACUGUAUAACUAGAGUACUGGAGAGGUAAGCGGAACUACAAGUGUAGAGGUGAAAUUCGUAGAUAUUUGUAGGAAUGCCGAUGGGGAAGCCAGCUUACUGGACAGAUACUGACGCUAAAGCGCGAAAGCGUGGGU
RNAcentral lists this ribosomal RNA (724 nucleotides) under uncultured bacterium. RNAcentral's name for it is "bacterial SSU rRNA". It matches the Rfam family "Bacterial small subunit ribosomal RNA", at positions 29 to 766 of the family's 1533-position model. The record is from RNAcentral.